AUUAAAUAAUAAUUUAAAUUACUUUAAAUAAGUAUAAAAUAUAAAUAUAAUUUUUGAUGUAUUAAUUUCUUUUAUAAAAAUUAUAUUUUAAAUUAUUCUUUACUUCACCCCAUCCUUUUUUUCUUCAUUACCCGCUGAAUUUAAGCAUAUUAUUAAGCGGUGUGAAAAAGAAAUCAAAUGAGAUUGGAUUAGUAGUGGCGAACGAAGAUCCAAGAAAACAAGAUCAAAGGAAAAGAGGUAGUUGAGAAGUAUCAUUUUCUUGGUUAUCUGAUGCUCCUUUUGAGUUAUAUGAAAGUGCGGAAAAGAAAAAGCCUCCAUUACAAUUAUUGAAUUUUUGAAGUUUAGUUGGAAAACUACGCCAAAGAAGGUGAAAAGCCCUGUAAAACUCAUAUAGUAAUUAGGAGGACAUAUAUAAAUCGUUUUUAACUCUAGAGUCGCAUUGGUUGGGAAUCCAAUGUUAAAUGGGAGGUAUACUUCUUCUAAAAUCUAAAUAUGAGACUGAGACCGAUAGAGAAAAAGUACUGCGAAGGAACGUUGAAAAGAAUUUCGAAAGAAAAGUCAAAAGAACAUGAAAUGGAGAGGAGGG
This 586-nucleotide ribosomal RNA is filed under the name uncultured eukaryote. RNAcentral describes it as "eukaryotic LSU rRNA". The stretch from base 108 to 586 matches the Rfam family "Eukaryotic large subunit ribosomal RNA", at positions 1 to 416 of the family's 3401-position model. The record is from RNAcentral.